GACGAACGCUGGCGGCGUGCUUAACACAUGCAAGUCGAACGAGAUCCAUGGAGUAGCAAUACUCCGGAAGAUCUAGUGGCGAACGGGUGAGUAACACGUGAGCAACCCUGCCCCAAAGACUGGGAUAACCCCGGGAAACCGGAGCUAAUACCGGAUGUCCUCGUCGGAUCGCAUGGUCUGAUGAGGAAAUGAAUUUCGCUUUGGGAGGGGCUCGCGGGAUAUCAGCUUGUUGGNGGGGUAACGGCCUACCAAGGCUUCGACGUCUAGCUGGUCUGAGAGGACGAUCAGCCACACUGGGACUGAGACACGGCCCAGACUCCUACGGGAGGCAGCAGUGGGGAAUCUUGCCCAAUGGGGGAAACCCUGAGGCAGCAACGCCGCGUGUGGGAUGACGGCCU
This 398-nucleotide ribosomal RNA is filed under the name uncultured bacterium. RNAcentral describes it as "bacterial SSU rRNA". It matches the Rfam family "Bacterial small subunit ribosomal RNA", at positions 28 to 417 of the family's 1533-position model. The record is from RNAcentral.